GAAUAAUAAUCGCUGAGUUUUCUGUAUAGAAAACCGGGGGAACCAAGUAAUUGGGGUGAAUCGAUAUGCAUGAGUGCAUGUCGUAGGGCUAAUUCUCACAGUCCGAAUCCGUCAGCUAACCUCGGAAGCGAAAGUGGGAAGGAUA
RNAcentral lists this small RNA (145 nucleotides) under Paenibacillus sp. RNAcentral describes it as "c-di-AMP sequence". It matches the Rfam family "c-di-AMP riboswitch aptamer (ydaO/yuaA leader)". From Rfam's summary of the family: This family represents a conserved RNA structure found upstream of the ydaO and yuaA genes in Bacillus subtilis and related genes in other bacteria. The ydaO/yuaA element is thought to act as a genetic "off" switch for the ydaO and yuaA genes in its native state. Lineage: Bacteria; Bacillati; Bacillota; Bacilli; Caryophanales; Paenibacillaceae. The record is from RNAcentral. RNAcentral also lists the same sequence under 1 other name.